RNAcentral lists this unclassified non-coding RNA (204 nucleotides) under uncultured Byssocorticium. RNAcentral describes it as "sequence contains ITS2". The record is from RNAcentral. Lineage: Eukaryota; Fungi; Basidiomycota; Agaricomycetes; Atheliales; Atheliaceae.
AAUUCUCAACUUUGCUUGUCUUUUUGUGUCGAGCGAAGCUUGGAUUUUGGAGUGUGCUGGCGAAGGUCGGCUCCUCUUUAAAUGCAUUAGCGGAAAGGUCAUAUCUGACUUUUGCGGUGAAUCGGCGUGAUAAUAACGUUGUUGCGUCGUUGACCCAAAAGCUCUCUGUCCGCUUACAAUGGUCUUCGGACGACUUAUUAUGAA